AAGACCUUGCGCUUUGGGAGCGGCCGAUGUCUGAUUAGCUAGUUGGUGGGGUAAAGGCCUACCAAGGCGACGAUCAGUAGUUGGUCUGAGAGGACGACCAGCCACACUGGGACUGAGACACGGCCCAGACUCCUACGGGGGGCAGCAGUGGGGAAUUUUGGACAAUGGGCGCAAGCCUGAUCCAGCAAUGCCGCGUGAGUGAAGAAGGCCUUCGGGUUGUAAAGCUCUUUCAGUCGAGAAGAAAAAGCUGCAGUGAAUAACUGUAGUUCAUGACGGUAUCGACAGAAGAAGCACCGGCUAACUACGUGCCAGCAGCCGCGGUAAUACGUAGGGUGCGAGCGUUAAUCGGAAUUACUGGGCGUAAAGGGUGCGCAGGCGGCUUUGUAAGUCAGAUGUGAAAUCCCCGGGCUUAACCUGGGAAUU
Molecule: ribosomal RNA, 423 nt
Filed under: uncultured bacterium
Lineage: Bacteria
Description: bacterial SSU rRNA
Rfam family: Bacterial small subunit ribosomal RNA
Source: RNAcentral